UACGUAGGGCGCAAGCGUUGUCCGGAUUUAUUGGGCGUAAAGAGCGUGUAGGCGGCCAUGCAGGUCCGUUGUGAAAACUCGAGGCUCAACCUCGAGACGCCGAUGGAAACCGCAUGGCUAGAGUCCGGAAGAGGAGAGUGGAAUUCCUGGUGUAGCGGUGAAAUGCGCAGAUAUCAGGAAGAACACCCGUGGCUAAGGCGGCUCUCUAGUACGGUACUGACGCUGAGACGCGAAAGCGUAGGGAGCGAACAGG
This 253-nucleotide ribosomal RNA is filed under the name uncultured bacterium. RNAcentral's name for it is "partial 16S ribosomal RNA". It matches the Rfam family "Bacterial small subunit ribosomal RNA", at positions 524 to 776 of the family's 1533-position model. The record is from RNAcentral.